UUAAAUUGAAGAGUUUGAUCAUGGCUCAGAUUGAACGCUGGCGGCAGGCCUAACACAUGCAAGUCGAACGGUAACAGGAAGCAGCUUGCUGCUUCGCUGACGAGUGGCGGACGGGUGAGUAAUGUCUGGGAAACUGCCUGAUGGAGGGGGAUAACUACUGGAAACGGUAGCUAAUACCGCAUAACGUCGCAAGACCAAAGAGGGGGACCUUCGGGCCUCUUGCCAUCGGAUGUGCCCAGAUGGGAUUAGCUAGUAGGUGGGGUAACGGCUCACCUAGGCGACGAUCCCUAGCUGGUCUGAGAGGAUGACCAGCCACACUGGAACUGAGACACGGUCCAGACUCCUACGGGAGGCAGCAGUGGGGAAUAUUGCACAAUGGGCGCAAGCCUGAUGCAGCCAUGCCGCGUGUAUGAAGAAGGCCUUCGGGUUGUAAAGUACUUUCAGCGGGGAGGAAGGCGAUAAGGUUAAUAACCUUGCCGAUUGACGUUACCCGCAGAAGAAGCACCGGCUAACUCCGUGCCAGCAGCCGCGGUAAUACGGAGGGUGCAAGCGUUAAUCGGAAUUACUGGGCGUAAAGCGCACGCAGGCGGUCUGUCAAGUCGGAUGUGAAAUCCCCGGGCUCAACCUGGGAACUGCAUUCGAAACUGGCAGGCUAGAGUCUUGUAGAGGGGGGUAGAAUUCCAGGUGUAGCGGUGAAAUGCGUAGAGAUCUGGAGGAAUACCGGUGGCGAAGGCGGCCCCCUGGACAAAGACUGACGCUCAGGUGCGAAAGCGUGGGGAGCAAACAGGAUUAGAUACCCUGGUAGUCCACGCCGUAAACGAUGUCGACUUGGAGGUUGUGCCCUUGAGGCGUGGCUUCCGGAGCUAACGCGUUAAGUCGACCGCCUGGGGAGUACGGCCGCAAGGUUAAAACUCAAAUGAAUUGACGGGGGCCCGCACAAGCGGUGGAGCAUGUGGUUUAAUUCGAUGCAACGCGAAGAACCUUACCUACUCUUGACAUCCAGAGAACUUAGCAGAGAUGCUUUGGUGCCUUCGGGAACUCUGAGACAGGUGCUGCAUGGCUGUCGUCAGCUCGUGUUGUGAAAUGUUGGGUUAAGUCCCGCAACGAGCGCAACCCUUAUCCUUUGUUGCCAGCGGUCCGGCCGGGAACUCAAAGGAGACUGCCAGUGAUAAACUGGAGGAAGGUGGGGAUGACGUCAAGUCAUCAUGGCCCUUACGAGUAGGGCUACACACGUGCUACAAUGGCGCAUACAAAGAGAAGCGACCUCGCGAGAGCAAGCGGACCUCAUAAAGUGCGUCGUAGUCCGGAUUGGAGUCUGCAACUCGACUCCAUGAAGUCGGAAUCGCUAGUAAUCGUGGAUCAGAAUGCCACGGUGAAUACGUUCCCGGGCCUUGUACACACCGCCCGUCACACCAUGGGAGUGGGUUGCAAAAGAAGUAGGUAGCUUAACCUUCGGGAGGGCGCUUACCACUUUGUGAUUCAUGACUGGGGUGAAGUCGUAACAAGGUAACCGUAGGGGAACCUGCGGUUGGAUCACCUCCUUACCUUAAAGAA
This 1554-nucleotide ribosomal RNA is filed under the name Enterobacter hormaechei subsp. xiangfangensis. RNAcentral's name for it is "bacterial SSU rRNA". It matches the Rfam family "Bacterial small subunit ribosomal RNA". Lineage: Bacteria; Pseudomonadati; Pseudomonadota; Gammaproteobacteria; Enterobacterales; Enterobacteriaceae. The record is from RNAcentral.